This 446-nucleotide ribosomal RNA is filed under the name uncultured bacterium. RNAcentral's name for it is "partial 16S ribosomal RNA". It matches the Rfam family "Bacterial small subunit ribosomal RNA", at positions 338 to 795 of the family's 1533-position model. The record is from RNAcentral.
CCUACGGGGGGCAGCAGUCGAGAAUUAUUCACAAUGGGGGAAACCCUGAUGGUGCGACGCCGCGUGGGGGAAUGAAGGUCUUCGGAUUGUAAACCCCUGUCAUGUGGGAGCAAAUUAAAAAGAUAGUACCACAAGAGGAAGAGACGGCUAACUCUGUGCCAGCAGCCGCGGUAAUACGGAGGUCUCAAGCGUUGUUCGGAAUCACUGGGCGUAAAGCGUGCGUAGGCUGUUGCGUAAGUCGUGUGUGAAAGGCGCGGGCCCAACCCGCGGACGGCACAUGAUACUGCGAGACUCGAGUAAUGGAGGGGGAACCGGAAUUCUCGGUGUAGCAGUGAGAUGCGUAGAUAUCGAGAGGAACACUCGUGGCGAAGGCGGGUUCCUGGACAUUAACUGACGCUGAGGCACGAAGGCCAGGGGAGCGAAAGGGAUUAGAUACCCCGGUAGUC